RNAcentral lists this ribosomal RNA (2301 nucleotides) under Triticum aestivum (bread wheat). RNAcentral's name for it is "partial small subunit ribosomal RNA". Lineage: Eukaryota; Viridiplantae; Streptophyta; Magnoliopsida; Poales; Poaceae. The record is from RNAcentral.
AUGUUCACCACCAACACCAUUUCCGCCCGGGUUACGACCCCUGGUAGCACAAGCGUGCCGUGGUGGCUCACUAUCGUCUAUGGCCCCCAGGACAACAACGCCAAGAUCGCUUUUCUACAGGAGAUCCGCGACAUCCGCGACGCCUGCCCCGGUCCAUGGCUCAUCUGCGGAGACUUCAAUAUGAUCUACCGUGAUGAGGACAAGAACAACGACAAUCUCAAUCGGAGAAUGAUGGGGCGAUUCCGACGCGUCCUCAACGACCUCGCGCUCAAGGAGAUUUACCUCAGCGGCCGGCGCUAUACAUGGUCCAAUGAGCAGAGCCCGCCCACCUUGGUCCAUCUCGAUCGGGUGCUGUGCUCUACGGACUGGGAUGAGCUGCACGUCGAAUGGCACCUGCGUUGCCUGGCCUCGGUCGUCUCGGAUCACUCCCCCUUUUUGCUCGAUUGCUCGCCUCUCCCAUCAGCGCACCGGCGAUUCCACUUCGAGGAGUACUGGACUCGCCUCGCCGGUUUCCCGGAGAUCGUGGCGACCUCGUGGCAUUCGGUGGAUGACGCCGAUCCGUUCCGGCGUUUCAUACGGCGCAUGCAGGCCACAGCGCGUAAGCUCACCAGCUGGAGCGCGCGUUCCGUUGGUAACGUGCGAGACCAGCUUGCGAUCUCUCGCGAGCUGCUGCUCCGCUUCGACGCCGCACAAGAACAGCGCGCCCUAUCACCGCAUGAAGACUGGCUGCGUCGUCAGAUCAAGCUCUCCUACCUUGGCCUUGCUUCCCUUGAGCGGACGAUUGCCCAGCAGCGCGCACGCAUUGCAUCUCUCAAAGACGGCGAUGCGAACACUACGUUGUACCAUCGCCAGUGCACGUACCGCAAGCAGAAGAACUGGAUCCAUGGCAUCUCUGUCGACGGCGCCGUGCUCACUGAUCCUAGCGACAUGGCCGCGGCCACUUUCGAGCACUUUGACAGCCGGAUUGGGACGGACGUGCCGCGUGACUGCACCAUUGACCUGUCGCAGUUCAUUGAGCCCUCAAACCUGGAGGACCUCAACGCGCCAUUCAGCGAAGAUGAGAUUUGGCAAGCCAUCAAAAGCUUGCCGUCUCGCAAGGCGCCCGGCCCUGACGGCUUCACCGCAGAGUUCCUCUGCUCCUGCUGGCCAGUCAUCAAGCACGACCUCCGAUGCGUCUUUGACCAGGUUUAUGCGCUGCGUGGCCGAGGGUUUAGCUGCCUUAACCAGGCGCUAAUUACGCUCCUCCCCAAGCGCGCCGAUGCCAAUGGCUUGGGGGAUUAUAGGCCCAUAAGCCUAAUUCACAUUGUUGCCAAGGUCCUGGCCAAGCUGCUUUCGCUCCGCCUAGCCCCCAAGCUCAACAAUCUUGUCAGCAACGUCCAGAACGCGUUCAUCCACGGGCGAAGUCUUCACGACAACUUCAUCCUUGUGCGUCAAUCCGCGCGGCUUUUGCAUCAACUUGGUGCCCCUCGCGUGCUUUUGAAGCUUGACCUGGCGCGGGCUUUCGACUCCGUCUCGUGGCCUUUCCUGUUUGAGGUGUUGCGAUGCCGUGGCUUCGGCAACCGCUUCCUUGAUUGGAUCGCCCUUCUCCUGUCGUCGGCCAGCACCAAGGUUCUCCUCAACGGCAACCCCGGACCAGCGAUUUGGCACCGCUGUGGACUGCGCCAAGGUGAUCCAGUUUCCCCGCAGCUCUUCGUCCUGGCAGUCGAUACGUUGGGCAGGCUCUUCCAUCGCGCGGUCGAGCUCCGGGUCAUGCAGCAGCUCCACCCGCGCCGCACCAUUCCUACCAUAUCCCUCUACGCCGACGACGUAAUUCUCCUAUGCCACCCCUCGCCUGAUGAUAUUGCGGCGGUGAAGGAGAUCUUGCAGCUCUAUGGGCGCGCCUCCGGCCUGCACGUGAACUUCCAGAAGAGCGCUGCGGCCCUCAUCCGCUGCGACACCGCGGACGCUGCUCAUGUUGUCGCGCACCUGGGAUGCCCCAUCGUCGAAUUCCCGCUCACUUACUUGGGCAUCCCGCUCACGCUGCGUGGCCCCACUGCUGCCCAGCUCCAACCCGUCGUCGACAAGGUCGCUGGGAAGCUACCCUUCUGGAAGGCUUGGCUCAUGAACAAAGCCGGUCCCCUUGCCUUCGUCAAGGCUGUCUUGAGCACGAUCCCCAUACAUCAGCUCCUUGUGCUUGCGCCGCCAAAGAAGACCAUCAAACUCUUGGAGAAGAUUGAGAGAGGAUUCCUUUGGGCUGGCCGCGCCGAGGCCAAUGGUGGCAAUUGCCACGUCAACUGGCGGCGCGUCUGUCGGCCUAUCUAG